CGGGGGUAGAGCACUGUUUCGGCUAGGGGGCCAUCCCGGCUUACCAACCCGAUGCAAACUGCGAAUACCGGAGAAUGUUAUCACGGGAGACACACGGCGGGUGCUAACGUCCGUCGUGAAGAGGGAAACAACCCAGACCGCCAGCUAAGGUCCCAAAGUCAUGGUUAAGUGGGAAACGAUGUGGGAAGGCCCAGACAGCCAGGAUGUUGGCUUAGAAGCAGCCAUCAUUUAAAGAAAGCGUAAUAGCUCACUGGUCGAGUCGGCCUGCGCGGAAGAUGUAACGGGGCUAAACCAUGCACCGAAGCUGCGGCAGCGACGCUGAUGCGUUGUUGGGUAGGGGAGCGUUCUGUAAGCCUGCGAAGGUGGCCUGUGAGGGUUGCUGGAGGUAUCAGAAGUGCGAAUGCUGACAUAAGUAACGAUAAAGCGGGUGAAAAGCCCGCUCGCCGGAAGACCAAGGGUUCCUGUCCAACGUUAAUCGGGGCAGGGUGAGUCGACCCCUAAGGCGAGGCCGAAAGGCGUAGUCGAUGGGAAACGGGUUAAUAUUCCCGUACUUGGUGUUACUGCGAAGGGGGGACGGAGAAGGCUAUGUUGGCCGGGCGACGGUUGUCCCGGUUUAAGCGUGUAGGUGUGUGUUCCAGGUAAAUCCGGUUCACUUUAACACUGAGGCGUGAUGACGAGGCACUACGGUGCUGAAGCAACAAAUGCCCUGCUUCCAGGAAAAGCCUCUAAGCAUCAGGUAACAUCAAAUCGUACCCCAAACCGACACAGGUGGUCAGGUAGAGAAUACCAAGGCGCUUGAGAGAACUCGGGUGAAGGAACUAGGCAAAAUGGUGCCGUAACUUCGGGAGAAGGCACGCUGACACGUAGGUGAAGUGAUUUACUCAUGGAGCUGAAGUCAGUCGAAGAUACCAGCUGGCUGCAACUGUUUAUUAAAAACACAGCACUGUGCAAACACGAAAGUGGACGUAUACGGUGUGACGCCUGCCCGGUGCCGGAAGGUUAAUUGAUGGGGUCAGCGCAAGCGAAGCUCCUGAUCGAAGCCCCGGUAAACGGCGGCCGUAACUAUAACGGUCCUAAGGUAGCGAAAUUCCUUGUCGGGUAAGUUCCGACCUGCACGAAUGGCGUAAUGAUGGCCAGGCUGUCUCCACCCGAGACUCAGUGAAAUUGAACUCGCUGUGAAGAUGCAGUGUACCCGCGGCAAGACGGAAAGACCCCGUGAACCUUUACUAUAGCUUGACACUGAACAUUGAGCCUUGAUGUGUAGGAUAGGUGGGAGGCUUUGAAGUGUGGACGCCAGUCUGCAUGGAGCCGGCCUUGAAAUACCACCCUUUAAUGUUUGAUGUUCUAACGUGGACCCGUGAUCCGGGUUGCGGACAGUGUCUGGUGGGUAGUUUGACUGGGGCGGUCUCCUCCUAAAGAGUAACGGAGGAGCACGAAGGUUGGCUAAUCCUGGUCGGACAUCAGGAGGUUAGUGCAAUGGCAUAAGCCAGCUUGACUGCGAGCGUGACGGCGCGAGCAGGUGCGAAAGCAGGUCAUAGUGAUCCGGUGGUUCUGAAUGGAAGGGCCAUCGCUCAACGGAUAAAAGGUACUCCGGGGAUAACAGGCUGAUACCGCCCAAGAGUUCAUAUCGACGGCGGUGUUUGGCACCUCGAUGUCGGCUCAUCACAUCCUGGGGCUGAAGUAGGUCCCAAGGGUAUGGCUGUUCGCCAUUUAAAGUGGUACGCGAGCUGGGUUUAGAACGUCGUGAGACAGUUCGGUCCCUAUCUGCCGUGGGCGCUGGAGAACUGAGGGGGGCUGCUCCUAGUACGAGAGGACCGGAGUGGACGCAUCACUGGUGUUCGGGUUGUCAUGCCAAUGGCACUGCCCGGUAGCUAAAUGCGGAAGAGAUAAGUGCUGAAAGCAUCUAAGCACGAAACUUGCCCCGAGAUGAGUUCUCCCUGAGACUUAGAGUCUCCUGAAGGAACGUUGAAGACGACGACGUUGAUAGGCCGGGUGUGUAAGCGCAGCGAUGCGUUGAGCUAACCGGUACUAAUGAACCGUGAGGCUUAACCUUACA
RNAcentral lists this ribosomal RNA (2056 nucleotides) under Salmonella enterica. Its description in RNAcentral is "partial 23S ribosomal RNA". It matches the Rfam family "Bacterial large subunit ribosomal RNA", at positions 897 to 2925 of the family's 2925-position model. Lineage: Bacteria; Pseudomonadati; Pseudomonadota; Gammaproteobacteria; Enterobacterales; Enterobacteriaceae. The record is from RNAcentral.